ACAGGAUUAGAUACCCUGGUAGUCCACGCCCUAAACGAUGCCAACUAGGUGUUGGGGAAGGAGACUUCCUUAGUACCGUAGCUAACGCGUGAAGUUGGCCGCCUGGGGAGUACGGUCGCAAGAUUAAAACUCAAAGGAAUUGACGGGGACCCGCACAAGCGGUGGAUGAUGUGGAUUAAUUCGAUGCAACGCGAAAAACCUUACCUACCCUUGACAUGCCAGGAACCCUGCUGAGAGGUGGGGGUGCUCGAAAGAGAGCCUGGACACAGGUGCUGCAUGGCUGUCGUCAGCUCGUGUCGUGAGAUGUUGGGUUAAGUCCCGCAACGAGCGCAACCCUUGUCAUUAGUUGCCAUCAUUUAGUUGGGCACUCUAAUGAGACUGCCGGUGACAAACCGGAGGAAGGUGGUGAUGACGUCAAGUCCUCAUGGCCCUUAUGGGUAGGGCUUCACACGUCAUACAAUGGUCGGUACAGAGGGUUGCCAAGCCGCGAGGUGGAGCCAAUCCCAGAAAGCCGAUCGUAGUCCGGAUCGGAGUCUGCAACUCGACUCCGUGAAGUCGGAAUCGCUAGUAAUCGUGGAUCAGCAUGCCACGGUGAAUACGUUCCCGGGUCUUGUACACACCGCCCGUCACACCAUGGGAGUGGGUUUCACCAGAAGUAGGUAGCCUAACCGCAAGGGGGGCGCUUACCACGGUGGGAUUCAUGACUGGGGUGAAGUCGUAACAAGGUA
This 728-nucleotide ribosomal RNA is filed under the name uncultured bacterium. RNAcentral's name for it is "bacterial SSU rRNA". It matches the Rfam family "Bacterial small subunit ribosomal RNA", at positions 772 to 1498 of the family's 1533-position model. The record is from RNAcentral.